AAUGAACGCUGGCGGCAUGCCUAACACAUGCAAGUCGAACGAACAGACGGGGAGCUUGCGCGCUUGACGGUGGCGGGGGGCGGGAGAGUCACACGUGGAUCGCAUACCUCUAAGACUGGGAUAAUAACGGAGGACCAGAUCUACUACCGGAUCAUAUAUCGAACCGCAUGGGGCAAGGGUUAAUGACGGUUUUUGUGACAGUAAUAGCUGAUUCCGCGCCGCAUUAGCUAGUUGGUAAAGUAACGGCUUACCAAGGCGACGAUGCGGAGCCGACCUGAGAGGGUGAUCCGCCACACGGGAACUGAGAAACGGUCCAGACUCCUACGGGAGGCAGCAGUAGGGAAUCUUACGCAAUGGGCGAAAGCCUGAUCGAGCAACACCGCGUGAGUGAUGAAGGUCUUCGGAUCGUAAAGCGCUGUUGUUCGGAAAGAAGAAAAGUGGAUGUAACUGUGGAGGUAUUGACGGUACCGAAAGAAUAAGCCCCGGCUAACUACGUG
This 497-nucleotide ribosomal RNA is filed under the name uncultured bacterium. Its description in RNAcentral is "partial 16S ribosomal RNA". It matches the Rfam family "Bacterial small subunit ribosomal RNA", at positions 29 to 507 of the family's 1533-position model. The record is from RNAcentral.